This is a non-coding RNA of Schistosoma haematobium, 45 nucleotides long. The record is from Rfam. Lineage: Eukaryota; Metazoa; Platyhelminthes; Trematoda; Strigeidida; Schistosomatidae.
AUCCGGCUGACGCGUCCUAAAUAGAACGAAACGCGUAUUCUGGAU